GAUGAACGCUGGCGGCGUGCCUAAUACAUGCAAGUCGAGCGAACGGACGAGAAGCUUGCUUCUCUGAUGUUAGCGGCGGACGGGUGAGUAACACGUGGAUAACCUACCUAUAAGACUGGGAUAACUUCGGGACACCGGAGCUAAUACCGGAUAAUAUUUUGAACCGCAUGGUUCAAAAGUGAAAGACGGUCUUGCUGUCACUUAUAGAUGGAUCCGCGCUGCAUUAGCUAGUUGGUAAGGUAACGGCUUACCAAGGCAACGAUGCAUAGCCGACCUGAGAGGGUGAUAGGCCGCACGAGAACUGAGACACGGUCCAGACUCCUACGGGAGGCAGCAGUAGGGAAUCUUCCGCAAAGGGCGAAAGCCUGACGGAGCAACGCCGCGUGAGUGAUGAAGGUCUUCGGAUCGGAAAACUCUGUUAUUAGGGAAGAACAUAUGUGUAAGUAACUGUGCACAUCUUGACGGUACCUAAUCAGAAAGCCACGGCUAACUACGUG
RNAcentral lists this ribosomal RNA (497 nucleotides) under uncultured bacterium. Its description in RNAcentral is "partial 16S ribosomal RNA". It matches the Rfam family "Bacterial small subunit ribosomal RNA", at positions 28 to 507 of the family's 1533-position model. The record is from RNAcentral.